RNAcentral lists this ribosomal RNA (253 nucleotides) under uncultured bacterium. Its description in RNAcentral is "partial 16S ribosomal RNA". It matches the Rfam family "Bacterial small subunit ribosomal RNA", at positions 524 to 776 of the family's 1533-position model. The record is from RNAcentral.
UACGAAGGGGGCUAGCGUUGCUCGGAAUGACUGGGCGUAAAGGGCGCGUAGGCGGUUCGUACAGUCAGACGUGAAAUUCCUGGGCUUAACCUGGGGGCUGCGUUUGAUACGUACGGGCUUGAGUGUGGAAGAGGGUCGUGGAAUUCCCAGUGUAGAGGUGAAAUUCGUAGAUAUUGGGAAGAACACCGGUGGCGAAGGCGGCGACCUGGUCCAUUACUGACGCUGAGGCGCGAAAGCGUGGGGAGCAAACAGG